This 950-nucleotide ribosomal RNA is filed under the name Bragasellus molinai. RNAcentral's name for it is "16S ribosomal RNA". The stretch from base 561 to 950 matches the Rfam family "Bacterial large subunit ribosomal RNA", at positions 2048 to 2700 of the family's 2925-position model. Lineage: Eukaryota; Metazoa; Arthropoda; Malacostraca; Isopoda; Asellidae. The record is from RNAcentral.
CCCGAAGUAAGAAGAGCUAGCCAGAUAAAAGAUUAAUGUUUAAAAAUUAUCUUAAAAUAGGGUUAGAGGUGAAAUGCUAAGCAAUUCUUUUAUACCUGGUUUAGUUAAAAUAAAUUUAAUUAUUAAACAAAUAAAUUCAUUUGUUCAUAUAAACUAGAAGGGUAAGCUUUCUAGUUGUAGAAAAUUUUUAUUUUUAAAAAAGAUUUAAAUAUCAACACUCCAAGAAAAAUAAAAUUUUAUCUUUUACAAAAAUACUAAAUAAUAAAUUAUUGGAACAUAAAAAUAAUAAAUUUAUUAGUAAUUCUGUAAAUUUAUUUAUAGAUAAUUUUACUAUAAUUUAUAUUUGCUUGAAAAAAAGAAUAGAACUCGGCAAAACUACUUUCGCAUGUUUAACAAAAACAUCUCUUAAAAUAUUUUAAGUAAGCUCUGCCCUAUGAUUUAUUAAAUGGCCGCAGUACCUUGACUGUGCAAAGGUAGCAUAAUCAUUUGUUUUUUUAUUGAAAACUAGAAUGAAAGAGUCGACGAAAAAUAGCCUUUUGAUUUAUAAAAUUAAAUUGACAUAAAGGUCAAAAGGCCUUAAAAAACCAGAAAGACGACAAGACCCUAUAAAACUUUACUAUUAUUAAAACAAAAUAGUUGAACUGGGGCGGUUGAUACAAAAACUGUAUAAUAAAAAAUAUAAAAUAUAAAUUUCAAGAACUUAAUAAAUAAAAAAUAUUGAACAAGUUACUUUAGGGAUAACAGCAUAAUUUUCUUAGAGAGCCCAAAUCGACGAGAAAGCUUAUGACCUCGAUGUUGAAUUGAAAAUCCUUGUGUGAGCAGAAGCAUUCAAAGGUAGUCUGUUCGACUAUUAAAUUUUCACAUGAUUUGAGUUCAGACCGGCGUGAGCCAGGUUGGUUUCUAUCUUCUGGGCGGAAGUCGCACUAAAUUGUACGUAAGGACUUUUUGUG